UGGGUCGAUGCCCGAGAGGUUAAAGGGGGCGGAUUGUAAAUCCGCUGGCGUUUGCCUUCACUGGUUCGAAUCCGGUUCGACCCAU
This 85-nucleotide transfer RNA is filed under the name Pseudochlorodesmis sp. HV01306a. RNAcentral describes it as "tRNA-Tyr". It matches the Rfam family "tRNA". Rfam says of the family: Transfer RNA (tRNA) molecules are approximately 80 nucleotides in length. Their secondary structure includes four short double-helical elements and three loops (D, anti-codon, and T loops). The record is from RNAcentral. Lineage: Eukaryota; Viridiplantae; Chlorophyta; Ulvophyceae; Bryopsidales; Bryopsidaceae.